RNAcentral lists this ribosomal RNA (486 nucleotides) under uncultured bacterium. Its description in RNAcentral is "partial 16S ribosomal RNA". It matches the Rfam family "Bacterial small subunit ribosomal RNA", at positions 28 to 507 of the family's 1533-position model. The record is from RNAcentral.
GACGAACGCUGGCGGCGUGCUUAACACAUGCAAGUCGAACGCUGAAGCCCUGGCUUUUGUUGGGUUGGAUGAGUGGCGAACGGGUGAGUAACACGUGAGUAACCUGCCCUCUUCUUUGGGAUAACGCCCGGAAACGGGUGCUAAUACUGGAUAUUCACUGAUCUUCGCAUGGGGGUUGGUGGGAAGGUUUGUUCUGGUGGGGGAUGGGCUCGCGGCCUAUCAGCUUGUUGGUGGGGUGAUGGCCUACCAAGGCUUUGACGGGUAGCCGGCCUGAGAGGGUGACCGGUCACAUUGGGACUGAGAUACGGCCCAGACUCCUACGGGAGGCAGCAGUGGGGAAUAUUGCACAAUGGGCGAAAGCCUGAUGCAGCGACGCCGCGUGAGGGAUGGAGGCCUUCGGGUUGUAAACCUCUUUCGCUCAUGGUCAAGCCGCAACUGUGGGUUGUGGUGAGGGUAGUGGGUAAAGAAGCGCCGGCUAACUACGUG